UGUGUGUUUCGAUGUACAUGUUGACUAAUAAAGAUAUCUUAUCUAAUCUUAUCAUGUCCCCUCUUGUAACAUCCUAUGUUCCAGGAAAACAGUCUCUCCUCAUAGCUUAAGACACUCCAGCAACCUCCUGCUGAAUCUCCUUGAAGAAACGAGCAGAAGACAGAGAACUAUCAAGGCAACUGAAAGAACAACCUGCCAUGGCAAUAGAUCUUGCCUCCUGCAAAAUACAAGAAAGACAUUGUAUGUGCCAAGGUAGUGGGCACAAUGAAACUUCCUGCCUCUCCCGUAUUGUACCGUGUGUCUUGAUCUGUUGUUCUCAGAAUACCUUAAUGCUGUGGUGGAGCUGCGCAAGGCUGAGUUGUCCCUUUGAGUGACCGACCUGGGUUGAGGCGAUGAAACAGAAGUCUCACUGGAUCCUGCUUUGCUGGUGCUUGUUCGAUUCUGAUACAAAGUGGUCCAAGUGGUCGCAGUGGACGUUUCCGUGAUGCUGCCUGACCUGCUGAGUAUUUCCCACGUUAUCCACUUCAUUUUGUACUUUCUGUGUGGCUCAAUGCAAAGUCCAGAUCACCCUUCCCAUCGGGGAAAUUAUUGCUGGAAUUGGCAGAGGUUGACUGAGAUGCUGCCUGACCUGCUGAGUAUUUCCCACUUCAUUUUGUACUUGCUGUGUGGCUCAAUGCAAAAACUAGAUCACCCUUCCCAUCGGGGAAAUUAUUGCUGGAAUUGGCAGAGGUGGACUGAGUUACAGUGAAAGCAGAUUUGCUCGGCCUGAUGUUUCCAACCUGUGCAUCUGUUGUUUCUUGGUGUGAACGGAUUGUGUAUUGUGGGGAAAUGAUCGCUUCAGAGGUUCAACGAGAAGGUCACCACCUCCUACUCAGGGGCACCAGGGAUGGGGAAUAAAUGCUGGCCUUGCCGCUGAUGCCCACAUCACAGUGAAAGAAUAAAUUUAAAAAAUCUGUGGCUGAAUAUUCAUUAUUUACCCAGACGAUCACAAUGAAGACACAAAACAGUUUGCUGAAGUUCCUCAUUUUAUCACUCUGCAGCUGCCUCUCCCAGUUUGCCCAUUUCUAUGGCGAGAGAUUUUCUUUCCCACAGUCGAAUAUCCAGCCUUGUUCAAGUCGGAGAGCAGGGAACGGUCAGCACCAGGUGUCGGUCAUUUAUUCCUGAGCUCGGUGACACCGAUACACUCACUGAGAGAACCGGCCGAUCUCCACCGGGAGAGCUCCUGAAUGUUCAGAGUAGAGGGGCAGUGGUGCCCGGCGGUUCCUGUGCCUGUGCUGAACCCCCACCCACAUGGCCAAUUGCCAGUGUAUAGGGUGAGAUUGAAGCCCUGACACCAUGUGGGUCGUGCCCUCUUCUUGCAGCUACUGUUGGGCAGGAGGUACAGAAGCGUGAAGUCCCACACCACCAGCUUCAGGAACAGCUACUUUGCUGCAAGUGUCAGGUUCUUGAACUGACCUGCAGAACCCUAACCCUACCUCAGCAACGGAACACUACACACCACCUAUUACAGUAACAUGGACUUGUCUCUGGUUUUUUUUGCUCUAAUGUCUUGUUUUGCACAGUUUUU
Long non-coding RNA from Pristis pectinata (smalltooth sawfish), 1567 nucleotides. RefSeq lists it as uncharacterized. The record is from RefSeq and is a predicted model, not a curated record. NCBI's taxonomy places the organism in Eukaryota, Metazoa, Chordata, Chondrichthyes, Rhinopristiformes, Pristidae. The transcript is spliced from 6 exons.